RNAcentral lists this ribosomal RNA (546 nucleotides) under Phenoliferia psychrophenolica. Its description in RNAcentral is "eukaryotic LSU rRNA". It matches the Rfam family "Eukaryotic large subunit ribosomal RNA", at positions 78 to 622 of the family's 3401-position model. Lineage: Eukaryota; Fungi; Basidiomycota; Microbotryomycetes; Kriegeriales; Kriegeriaceae. The record is from RNAcentral.
CCCUAGUAACGGCGAGUGAAGCGGGAAGAGCUCAAAUUUGUAAUCUGGCACCUUCGGUGUCCGAGUUGUAAUCUCGAGAAGUGUUUUCCGCGCCGGACCGCAUACAAGUCUGUUGGAAUACAGCGUCAUAGUGGUGAGAACCCCGUAACUGAUGCGGAUGCCCGGUGCUUUGUGAUACACUUUCGAAGAGUCGAGUUGUUUGGGAAUGCAGCUCAAAUUGGGUGGUAAAUUCCAUCUAAAGCUAAAUAUUGGCGAGAGACCGAUAGCGAACAAGUACCGUGAGGGAAAGAUGAAAAGCACUUUGGAAAGAGAGUUAACAGUACGUGAAAUUGUUGGAAGGGAAACGCUUGAAGUCAGACUUGCUAUUUGGAAUUCAGCCGCAAGGUGUACUUUUCAAUUCGCAGGCCAGCAUCAGUUUUCGGGGGUGGAAAAGGGUAGAGAGAAGGUAGCAAUUUCGGUUGUGUUAUAGCUCUUUGCUGGAUUCAUCCUUGGGGACUGAGGAACGCAGCACGCUUUUUGCAAGGCUUUCGAGCUUUUCGUGCUUAG